This 230-nucleotide ribosomal RNA is filed under the name uncultured bacterium. RNAcentral's name for it is "partial 16S ribosomal RNA". It matches the Rfam family "Bacterial small subunit ribosomal RNA", at positions 562 to 791 of the family's 1533-position model. The record is from RNAcentral.
AAAGCGCGCGUAGGUGGUUCGUUAAGUUGGAUGUGAAAUCCCCGGGCUCAACCUGGGAACUGCAUCCAAAACUGGCGAGCUAGAGUAUGGUAGAGGGUGGUGGAAUUUCCUGUGUAGCGGUGAAAUGCGUAGAUAUAGGAAGGAACACCAGUGGCGAAGGCGACCACCUGGACUGAUACUGACACUGAGGUGCGAAAGCGUGGGGAGCAAACAGGAUUAGAUACCCGGGU